AACAAUAAGCGGAGGAAAAGAAACUAACAAGGAUUCCCCUAGUAACGGCGAGUGAAGCGGGAUGAGCUCAAAUUAAAAUCUGGUAGUCUCUGGCUGCCCGAGUUGUAAUCUAGAGAAGUGUUUUCUGUGCUGGACUGUGUUCAAGUUUCCUGGAUAUGGAACAUCAUAGAGGGUGAGAAUCCCGUCCUUGACACAGACUUCCCAGUGCUAUGUGAUGCACUCUCAACGAGUCGAGUUGUUUGGGAUUGCAGCUCAAAAUGGGAGGUAAAUUCCUUCUAAAGCUAAAUAUUGGCGAGAGACCGAUAGCGAACAAGUACCGUGAGGGAAAGAUGAAAAGCACUUUGGAAAGAGAGUUAAACAGUACGUGAAAUUGUUAAAAGGGAAACAAUUGAAGUCAGUCGCAUCUACUUGGACUCAGCCUUACUUUGGUUUGGUGCAUUUCCUUGUGGAUGGGCCAGUGUUCAUGUUGAUUGCUGGAAAAGGGGCUAGGGAAUGUGGCUCUUUUGGGAGUGUUAUAGCCUUGGCUCAUAUACAGUGAUUAAUAUGGAGUGGUACAGCAUGCUUCGGUGGUGCUUGUGCUGGCAUAAUGGCUUUAAAUGACCCGUCUUGAAACACGGACCAAGGAGUCUAACAUGUCUGCAAGUAUUUGGGUGAUAAACCCGAGUGCGUAAUGAAAGUGAUAGCUGGGAACCCUGUAAAGGGGGCACCAGUGCCCCGAGUGGAUCUUCUGUGAUGCAUCGGAGGUAGAGCAUAUAUGUUGGGACCCGAAAGAUGGUGAACUAUGCCUGAAUAGGGUGAAGCCAGAGGAAACUCUGGUGGAGGCUCGUAGCGAUUCUGACGUGCAAAUCGAUCGUCAAAUUUGGGUAUAGGGGCGAAAGACUAAUCGA
Molecule: ribosomal RNA, 887 nt
Filed under: Hydnum flabellatum
Lineage: Eukaryota; Fungi; Basidiomycota; Agaricomycetes; Cantharellales; Hydnaceae
Description: partial large subunit ribosomal RNA
Rfam family: Eukaryotic large subunit ribosomal RNA
Source: RNAcentral